This 760-nucleotide ribosomal RNA is filed under the name Vibrio sp. a149. RNAcentral describes it as "bacterial SSU rRNA". It matches the Rfam family "Bacterial small subunit ribosomal RNA", at positions 311 to 1064 of the family's 1533-position model. The record is from RNAcentral. Lineage: Bacteria; Pseudomonadati; Pseudomonadota; Gammaproteobacteria; Vibrionales; Vibrionaceae.
CACUGGACUGAGACACGGUCCAGACUCCUACGGGAGGCAGCAGUGGGGAAUAUUGCACAAUGGGCGCAAGCCUGAUGCAGCCAUGCCGCGUGUGUGAAGAAGGCCUUCGGGUUGUAAAGCACUUUCAGUCGUGAGGAAGGCGGUGUCGUUAAUAGCGGCCUCGUUUGACGUUAGCUACAGAAGAAGCACCGGCUAACUCCGUGCCAGCAGCCGCGGUAAUACGGAGGGUGCGAGCGUUAAUCGGAAUUACUGGGCGUAAAGCGCAUGCAGGUGGUUUGUUAAGUCAGAUGUGAAAGCCCGGGGCUCAACCUCGGAAUAGCAUUUGAAACUGGCAGACUAGAGUACUGUAGAGGGGGGUAGAAUUUCAGGUGUAGCGGUGAAAUGCGUAGAGAUCUGAAGGAAUACCGGUGGCGAAGGCGGCCCCCUGGACAGAUACUGACACUCAGAUGCGAAAGCGUGGGGAGCAAACAGGAUUAGAUACCCUGGUAGUCCACGCCGUAAACGAUGUCUACUUGGAGGUUGUGGCCUUGAGCCGUGGCUUUCGGAGCUAACGCGUUAAGUAGACCGCCUGGGGAGUACGGUCGCAAGAUUAAAACUCAAAUGAAUUGACGGGGGCCCGCACAAGCGGUGGAGCAUGUGGUUUAAUUCGAUGCAACGCGAAGAACCUUACCUACUCUUGACAUCCAGAGAACUUUCCAGAGAUGGAUUGGUGCCUUCGGGAACUCUGAGACAGGUGCUGCAUGGCUGUCGUCAGCUCGUG